GCUCUCAGCCUUCCUUCCUAGGAGAGGAGCUCCAGCCAUCUGAUCAUCUUUGUAGCCCUCCUCUGGACUUGAUCUAACAACCACACAUCUUUCUUGUGCUGGCACCCUGUGUGUGCGCAAGUCCCUGCUGCCACUGUGCACAAAUCUGACAAAAGGUGGUUGCUGGGAGGGGUUUGGGGACUGAGGUGUAGGUUAUGUCAACCUCUUCGGUUAGCAGAUGAUAUACUUACCUGCGAAUGGGAGUCCCCACGUCAGUCUCUUUCUGAGCCUGGAUGCCAACCACCAAGGAAGGUGCCCUGAGGUUGGUUCUGACGUACCCUUUAGCAGCAGGAUUUUCUGGUCUGGCCAAAAUGGGCAGCUGGGGGCAAAGAAGAGAGGCAGAGGAAUAGGCACAUCCCUCGCAGACCCAUCUGAACUCAUCUUAGUGAGUUGUGGCCCCAGCUGGAUGUCCAAGGGUAGAACAUUGUAGUGUUGUAACUUCCGAGCUUCUCAACCGUGAGUUACUCUUCAACUUUAUUUUCACGCAAUCAUACAUAUUCAUGCAGAAAUACGGCGUCAGAUACUAAUGAAACAUUGUGGGGUUAAAUUGGUCUUUUAGUAGCUCCAUUAAUUUGAUGGAAUUGCACCAGAGACUAGGUUGAUUUACAAUGUAAAUACAUUUUGGUAAAAGGUAUGGAAAUAACUAAACAAACAAUUGCAGUUAAAGAUGCAUGACUCUAUUAGAGUUUAAUUUUAAAUGGCUGCAAAGAAAGGAGAACGUACCACUCUUUUGUUAAGAUAGAAAUAAAUAAAAUACACUAUAAGUGUUGGAGAUAAUUAGUUAAGUGCUCAACUAUUUAGUUUUUAAAACAGGAUCACGCUUAAGUGCCUUAAGCUUUUAUUAAUUGCAUGGACCCAAAAAUCCCCUGUAGUAAUUGAAAAUUUAAUUACAUACAUUUUUUGUUCUUUUAAGAAUAGAAGCUUGUUAAACUUUAAACACUUAAACAUCUAUUGAAAUAACCAGUGGCUAUAAACAAUGUGCAGUUCCAAAUACUAAUUAAACAGGAAGGCUAAAUCACUAUAAAGCUAAACUGAAUUUUAAGUAACUUUACACUCGUAAGUACUCUGAUUUUUUUUUCACGCAGUAUAAGAUUCACCAUUCCCUCUCCACACGCAGCUGAAGUCCUGGCAGUGUUAUUGUUUGUCUGCACUGUCAGGCAGGUUUUGUGGAUAUAUUUGAAGUGAGGGCCAGUCUCUAGGGGCGAAACUGGGUUUCAGAAUGGAGAUGGGCAUGGGCAGAGAGCUGGUCAUGUGGGCAGUUGCUGGUGAUGCUGGUACGUGCGGAGGUUCAUGUGCCUGUAGGAAAGGGGACAUGGUAGCAAAUGGCUGGGAGAGGUGGCUUGGUGGGAUUGGUUAAGGAAGCAGUGGUCUGUUCACAACCAACUGAUAAGAUUUCUGAUUUGGUAAGAGGUACAUGUGGAAAGGUCCUUCAUUUCUCUUUGUUCAUGGAACUGGGACCAGAGAUUUUGAUAUUUGUGUUCUGUUUUAUGAUCCAAUCUAAUGCAAGUCUCUGUCAGUUAAUCAACUGAUGUAAUGCUUAGUUAAUUUUGUUUGGACAGAUGGCUAACUUCCUAAAAUUAGCCAUUGCUAUUUACAUUCUUAUUAACAAAAGAUAAACAUAGAAUUAACCUCUGUCUAAACUAUCUUCUGAUUUUUAGAUGAGGCUCUUUUUGGGUAUAAAGGUUUGCUUUUGCUUCUGCUCAGCCAACCCAAGAAGAACAUUACUAUGGUGAGGUUGGAGUGGGUUGUAAGUACGUAGACACGAUGCUCUCCCAAACCACUCGAGGCAAGUCUCUGCCUAGAAGAGUAUUUGAGCUGCUGUCCAUCACUGUCUAAACUAGCAUUUAAAAUACCUCUAGAGACAGCAGAAGUAACCUGAUGGAAUUAACAGCAGAAGACAGACAAGAAUACAGACUAUUUUCAAGCACUGAUUGUGAGUGCUGUCAGUUCAUCAGAUGCAAUUCCUCUCUCAGCACUACUGUAAAUACAGAAUCACAGAAUCGUCUAGGUUG
Long non-coding RNA from Cygnus olor (mute swan), 2051 nucleotides. RefSeq lists it as uncharacterized. The record is from RefSeq and is a predicted model, not a curated record. Lineage: Eukaryota; Metazoa; Chordata; Aves; Anseriformes; Anatidae. The transcript is spliced from 3 exons.